GAUGAACGUUGGCGGCGUGCCUAAUACAUGCAAGUCGAACGAAGACUGUAGUAAUACUGUCUUAGUGGCGAACGGGUGAGUAACGCGUGGGUGACCUGCACCGAAGUGUGGGAUAACAGUUCGAAAGGAUUGCUAAUACUGCAUAAUAUCCAAGAGAUUAGACGCUUUUGGAUUAAAGGAGUAAUUCGCUUCGGGAGGGGCCCGCGUCCCAUCAGCUAGUUGGUAAGGUAAUGGCUUACCAAGGCGAUGACGGGUAGGGGACCUGAGAGGGUGGCCCCCCAAAUGGAACUGAAACACGGUCCAUACACCUACGGGUGGCAGCAGUAGGGAAUAUUAGAAAUGGACGAAAGUCUGAUCUAGCAACACCGCGUGUGCGAUGAAGGCCUUCGGGUCGUAAAGCACUUUUUGGAGGGAAUAGGAAGGAAGGUACCUCAGAAUAAGUCUCGGCUAACUACGUG
Molecule: ribosomal RNA, 458 nt
Filed under: uncultured bacterium
Lineage: Bacteria
Description: bacterial SSU rRNA
Rfam family: Bacterial small subunit ribosomal RNA
Source: RNAcentral